GAUGAACGCUGGCGGCGCGCCUAAUACAUGCAAGUCGAGCGAACGGACGAGAAGCUUGCUUCUCUGAUGUUAGCGGCGGACGGGUGAGUAACACGUGGAUAACCUACCUAUAAGACUGGGAUAACUUCGGGAAACCGGAGCUAAUACCGGAUAAUAUUUUGAACCGCAUGGUUCAAAAGUGAAAGACGGUCUUGCUGUCACUUAUAGAUGGAUCCGCGCUGCAUUAGCUAGUUGGUAAGGUAACGGCUUACCAAGGCAACGAUGCAUAGCCGACCUGAGAGGGUGAUCGGCCACACUGGAACUGAGACACGGUCCAGACUCCUACGGGAGGCAGCAGUAGGGAAUCUUCCGCAAUGGGCGAAAGCCCGACGGAGCAACGCCGCGUGAGUGAUGAAGGUCUUCGGAUCGUAAAACUCUGUUAUUAGGGAAGAACAUAUGUGUAAGUAACUGUGCACAUCUUGACGGUACCUAAUCAGAAAGCCACGGCUAACUACGUG
This 497-nucleotide ribosomal RNA is filed under the name uncultured bacterium. Its description in RNAcentral is "partial 16S ribosomal RNA". It matches the Rfam family "Bacterial small subunit ribosomal RNA", at positions 28 to 507 of the family's 1533-position model. The record is from RNAcentral.